CUGCCGUGGGCGCUGGAGAAUUGAGGGGGGCUGCUCCUAGUACGAGAGGACCGGAGUGGACGCAUCACUGGUGUUCGGGUUGUCAUGCCAAUGGCACUGCCCGGUAGCUAAAUGCGGAAGAGAUAAGUGCUGAAAGCAUCUAAGCACGAAACUUGCCCCGAGAUGAGUUCUCCCUGACUCCUUGAGAGUCCUGAAGGAACGUUGAAGACGACGACGUUGAUAGGCCGGGUGUGUAAGCGCAGCGAUGCGUUGAGCUAACCGGUACUAAUGAACCGUGAGGCUUAACCUUACAACGCCGAAGGUGUUU
RNAcentral lists this ribosomal RNA (307 nucleotides) under Escherichia coli. RNAcentral's name for it is "partial 23S ribosomal RNA". It matches the Rfam family "Bacterial large subunit ribosomal RNA", at positions 2642 to 2925 of the family's 2925-position model. Lineage: Bacteria; Pseudomonadati; Pseudomonadota; Gammaproteobacteria; Enterobacterales; Enterobacteriaceae. The record is from RNAcentral.